Molecule: ribosomal RNA, 478 nt
Filed under: uncultured bacterium
Lineage: Bacteria
Description: partial 16S ribosomal RNA
Rfam family: Bacterial small subunit ribosomal RNA
Source: RNAcentral
GACGAACGCUGGCGGCGUGCUUAACACAUGCAAGUCGAACGGUAAGGCCCUUCGGGGUACACGAGUGGCGAACGGGUGAGUAACACGUGGGUGAUCUGCCCUGCACUUCGGGAUAAGCCUGGGAAACUGGGUCUAAUACCGGAUAGGACCACUGCCUGCAUGGGUGGGGGUGGAAAGCUUUUGCGGUGUGGGAUGAGCCCGCGGCCUAUCAGCUUGUUGGUGGGGUGAUGGCCUACCAAGGCGACGACGGGUAGCCGGCCUGAGAGGGUGACCGGCCACACUGGGACUGAGAUACGGCCCAGACUCCUACGGGAGGCAGCAGUGGGGAAUAUUGCACAAUGGGCGCAAGCCUGAUGCAGCGACGCCGCGUGAGGGAUGACGGCCUUCGGGUUGUAAACCUCUUUCAGCACCGACGAAGCGCAAGUGACGGUAGGUGCAGAAGAAGGACCAGCCAACUACGUGCCAGCCGCCGCAGUAA